UACUUAUCAAGAAAGGCUGAGGGAUAUGGCCCUUUGAAGCCUUGACAACCUGUUCUUUUUUUUAUACAACCUGUUUGGAUAAAAAUGAGAAUAAGGUGCCAACUCCAUCACGCAGGAAGAUUGCGUGACAGAUAAGUC
Molecule: non-coding RNA, 138 nt
Filed under: Flavisolibacter ginsengisoli
Lineage: Bacteria; Pseudomonadati; Bacteroidota; Chitinophagia; Chitinophagales; Chitinophagaceae
Also listed under: 1 other name
Description: SAM-I sequence
Rfam family: SAM riboswitch aptamer (S box leader)
About the family: The SAM riboswitch is found upstream of a number of genes which code for proteins involved in methionine or cysteine biosynthesis in Gram-positive bacteria. The SAM riboswitch acts at the level of transcription termination control.
Source: RNAcentral